Ribosomal RNA from Sinocyclocheilus anshuiensis, 117 nucleotides. The record is from Ensembl. Lineage: Eukaryota; Metazoa; Chordata; Actinopteri; Cypriniformes; Cyprinidae.
GGCCACAGCCAUAUCACCCUGCAGCCCAAGACUGGUUGCCCACUGAAGCUAAGCAGGGUUGAGCCUGGUCAGUACCUGGAUGGGAGACCUCCUGGGAAAACUAGGUUGCUGUUGGAA